CCUACGGGAGGCUGCAGUGGGGAAUAUUGGGCAAUGGGCGCAAGCCUGACCCAGCAAUGCCGCGUGAAGGAAGAAGGCUUUCGGGUUGUAAACUUCUUUGACAGGGGAAGAGCAGAAGACGGUACCCUGAAAACAAGCCACGGCUAACUACGUGCCAGCAGCCGCGGUAAUACGUAGGGGGCAAGCGUUAUCCGGAUUUACUGGGUGUAAAGGGAGCGUAGGCGGUUUAGCAAGUCAGAAGUGAAAGCCCGGGGCUCAACUCCGGGACUGCUUUUGAAACUGUUGAACUAGAUUGCAGGAGAGGUAAGUGGAAUUCCUAGUGUAGCGGUGAAAUGCGUAGAUAUUAGGAGGAACACCAGUGGCGAAGGCGGCUUACUGGACUGUAAAUGACGCUGAGGCUCGAAAGCGUGGGGAGCAAACAGGAUUAGAUACCCGAGUAGUC
RNAcentral lists this ribosomal RNA (442 nucleotides) under uncultured bacterium. RNAcentral's name for it is "partial 16S ribosomal RNA". It matches the Rfam family "Bacterial small subunit ribosomal RNA", at positions 338 to 795 of the family's 1533-position model. The record is from RNAcentral.